AAAGAUUGCAAUGAUUCUGGUUUGUGAUUGUGUGAACCAGGUAAAAGUAGGUGAAACCAAGAAGCACUUAAUAACUUGACUUUGCAGUCACCACCGAUCUAAACUUAUUUAAGCGGUGCAGAUGCGAAAGCCAAAGCAGCGAGCAAGACAGAAUAGAGAAAAGCAAAGAAGACUACCAGGUAGUGCCUCCUCCUGCAAUGAAUCCCAAAGCUGUACAGCACAUCUCAGAAUGCUUAAUCAAGCCUCAACGCAUCUUACAAGAAACAAGGCAUCCUUGGUAUUUGACACCAUGGGAUCUUCUUAUGCUUUCUGUUCAUUAUAUCCAAAAGGGCCUUCUUUUUGCCAAACCAACA
Molecule: unclassified non-coding RNA, 353 nt
Filed under: Hevea brasiliensis (rubber tree)
Lineage: Eukaryota; Viridiplantae; Streptophyta; Magnoliopsida; Malpighiales; Euphorbiaceae
Source: RNAcentral